Molecule: long non-coding RNA, 759 nt
Organism: Rhinichthys klamathensis goyatoka
Lineage: Eukaryota; Metazoa; Chordata; Actinopteri; Cypriniformes; Leuciscidae
Exons: 4
Source: RefSeq, a predicted model, not a curated record
AGGCAUUUGAACCUGCCGGCAACGAACACGGAGAUCCAUGUCGGAGGAGGAUCGCGGUGGUUACAUCGACCAAAAUCACAAUAAUCCGAUGCAGGAUACCAUCCCUGAUCACACUGCUGUUCAAGAUGAUAUCCCAGGAUUUAUAUCUCUAUCUCUCUAUAUCCCAUCUCUCUUUAUCUAUCUCUUCCUGUCUCUCCAUCUCUCAUUCUAAAUAUCUAUCUCAAUCAGUGGUAGUCUUAUGUCAUUAAUAUUGUGUUUAAUUUGUUCUAUGUCCUAGGGAUAUGCCACUGCAGCUGACCUUGAGAGUUCACUCUUUAUACCUGCAACUCCUCGUCUGAUACUUCUUGGAGAAACGGGAAGCCGCUUCCAGCGGUGGAUGCUCAGCCUUGAGGGCCAAAUCAUUUGCGAAGGGAUCCAGUCCACCUUUGUGAUAGGGCUGGCGUCUUUUUUUUCCUGUUUUUACAUCUUUAACCUACAGUACCAAGAGGAGGCAGCCUGCACGAUUGAAUUCAUCCAGAGACGCUUUGUGGGUUUAAACCCAGAAAAAGGGACAAAGGCUGCAAAGGGGAAAAACAGAAGAACUUUGUCAAUUCACACGUCGCCAGCCUCUUGCUCAAGCUCAUGGACUUUCAGUGGGAUUUCAUUUGAAAAUGGUGAGUAAGAUGUAUACAUUACACAUAUGUUCAAACAGCAACGACUCAGGAGCUGGGGAAAUUCAUUCUAAUGUUCAUUCUCAACUGCCUUUCAAAGUUAGAAUGC